AUACAGUCCUUUAUUGCCUCUACCAUGCUUUAAUUGAUACCAUCUAUAAUGAUGGAAUAGAACAUGCUGGAUAUUUGUCAUUUUUACUCUUAUUAUCAAUCUUUCCUUUUCUUAUUGUUUUAAUGGCUUUAGCAUCAACGUUUGCAAAUUUAUUAGAUCAAUAUAAUAUGGGUUGGUUACUCAUAAUUGACAAUAUGCCUCAAGAUAUUUUAUCAUCCUUAAUGCCACGUAUUAAAGAGAUAAUAUCAGGUCCACCACACAGUUUGUUGACUUUGGCUAUUGUAGGUGCAGUUUGGACUGCUUCGUCUACUAUUGAGGGAUUAAGAACUAUAUUGAAUAAAGCUUACAAAGUACCAG
Molecule: non-coding RNA, 357 nt
Organism: Cinara cedri
Lineage: Eukaryota; Metazoa; Arthropoda; Insecta; Hemiptera; Aphididae
Source: the annotation of a GenBank genome assembly